GCGGAUAUAGUUUAGCGGUAGAAUUUCUGGCUUCCAACCAGAGGGCGUGGGUUCGAUUCCCACUAUCCGCU
Molecule: transfer RNA, 71 nt
Filed under: Bacillus sp. M6-12
Lineage: Bacteria; Bacillati; Bacillota; Bacilli; Caryophanales; Bacillaceae
Description: tRNA-Gly
Rfam family: tRNA
About the family: Transfer RNA (tRNA) molecules are approximately 80 nucleotides in length.
Source: RNAcentral